CACGUAGUUAGCCGGGGCUUCCUACUCAGGUACCGUCAUCUUCUUCCCUGCUGAUAGAGCUUUACAUACCGAAAUACUUCUUCACUCACGCGGCGUUGCUGCAUCAGGGUUUCCCCCAUUGUGCAAUAUUCCCCACUGCUGCCUCCCGUAGGAGUUUGGGCCGUGUCUCAGUCCCAAUGUGGCCGGUCACCCUCUCAGGUCGGCUACUGAUCGUCGCCUUGGUGGGCCGUUACCCCUCCAACUAGCUAAUCAGACGCGGGUCCAUCUCAUACCACCGGAGUUUUUCACACAAGAACAUGCAUCCUCGUGCGCUUAUGCGGUAUUAGCAGUCAUUUCUAACUGUUACUCCCCCUGUAUGAGGCAGGUUACCCACGCGUUACUCACCCGUCCGCCACUCACGUCAAUCUAAGCCUUCCACUCCGAAAACUUCCGACUAAACUCGCUUCGUUCACUUGCAUGUGUUAAGCACGCCGCCAGUCCGUUCACUCCUGACG
RNAcentral lists this ribosomal RNA (494 nucleotides) under uncultured Lachnospiraceae bacterium. RNAcentral's name for it is "partial 16S ribosomal RNA". The record is from RNAcentral. Lineage: Bacteria; Bacillati; Bacillota; Clostridia; Lachnospirales; Lachnospiraceae.